CUCCCAAAGUGCUGGGAUUACAGGCGUAAGCCACUGUGCCCGGCCUACGUUUUGAUGUUAAAAUGUAUCUUCUUAUUACGAAACCAUUUUUCCAUUGUAUUAACUACUUUUACAACAAAGCAAAUAACAAGUUAUUUUACAAACCAUUUAGAAAUUUCUGUACUAUGGUCCCAAUAAUGUAAAAUAUAUUAAUGCCUUUUACAUUCAGGUAAAUUAUCCACUUGGAAACUACAUAUUUAUGACUUACAGAAACUUACAUAAACAAAUUAUACAAAUUAUAUGCUCAAUUUUUAGGUAUAUAGUCUUAAAUUAAGCUUAAAUAUACAUUCUCAAGAUAAAUUAACAGUUCAGGGCUUCACAACUUGAAAUCUGUGGAA
RNAcentral lists this long non-coding RNA (377 nucleotides) under Homo sapiens (human). RNAcentral's name for it is "HSALNT0228113". Lineage: Eukaryota; Metazoa; Chordata; Mammalia; Primates; Hominidae. The record is from RNAcentral.